RNAcentral lists this ribosomal RNA (446 nucleotides) under uncultured bacterium. RNAcentral's name for it is "bacterial SSU rRNA". It matches the Rfam family "Bacterial small subunit ribosomal RNA", at positions 329 to 792 of the family's 1533-position model. The record is from RNAcentral.
CUCCAGACUCCUACGGGAGGCAGCAGUGGGGAAUAUUGCACAAUGGGGGAAACCCUGAUGCAGCGACGCCGCGUGAGUGAAGAAGUAUUUCGGUAUGUAAAGCUCUAUCAGCAGGGAAGAAAAUGACGGUACCUGAUUAAGAAGCCCCGGCUAACUACGUGCCAGCAGCCGCGGUAAUACGUAGGGGGCAAGCGUUAUCCGGAUUUACUGGGUGUAAAGGGAGCGUAGACGGCAAUGCAAGCCAGAUGUGAAAGCCCGGGGCUCAACCCCGGGACUGCAUUUGGAACUGUGUAGCUGGAGUGUCGGAGAGGCAGGCGGAAUUCCUAGUGUAGCGGUGAAAUGCGUAGAUAUUAGGAGGAACACCAGUGGCGAAGGCGGCCUGCUGGACGAUGACUGACGUUGAGGCUCGAAAGCGUGGGGAGCAAACAGGAUUAGAUACCCGUGUA